RNAcentral lists this unclassified non-coding RNA (1311 nucleotides) under Drosophila pseudoobscura pseudoobscura. RNAcentral's name for it is "GA20110". The record is from RNAcentral. Lineage: Eukaryota; Metazoa; Arthropoda; Insecta; Diptera; Drosophilidae.
GAAUCUCCAAUAUUUGAAAAUUAGAUCCGACACUGGGAUGGGAGGAUGUAAACAGCCUAAAUCUAAAAUCUUCACAUGGUUUUUUGGACUGUGACGUUAGCGAUGGCUGAGACGUUGGUGAUACGUUAUUCUAGUGCAUACCCGGGCUGGGAAUAAUGCAUUCAUAUAAACGCUUCCACUGUUGCGAGCUUGAUAUUUAAGCAACUGAAUAUACAUAUUUAAUUCAAGCACGGAAAAAACGAUGAAAUAAAUAACAGAUAAUGAUCUUAGACAUUUAAAUCGAAAGGAGCUUUGCCAGCAAUAGCUAGCGAUGCAAAAACUAGUAAAAACUACAAAUUAUAUGGGCAUUAGUAAGCGAGCAAUAGACAAGUGAAAUUAAAUUACAAAAAAUUUAAAGCCAUUUUCUGCCUGCCUAAGUCCUCCAUGGCAGUCCUACCUCUUCUUCGGAACAGUUCCACCAUUUCUUGAUCAUUCGAGAAAGUGAAGGACCUAUUCUGUGCUGCCUUUGUGGCGUUUUGGCCACUUCUUGGCAACAUAAAUAAAACAAAGUGAUUAUGAAAAACUCUUUUUACUUUUAUAUUACAAUGCAUUUUUAUUAUUCAGAAAGUUCGGAUCAAAAAGACAGUAUUUAAUUGGCAGAUUAUAUGUACAUAUAUAUUAGUAGAAUAGAAUAUACAGGCAUUACGAUUAUUGCGAUAUAAAACAACCAAGUCGCUUAUAUUUUACAUUUUAUUUAAUAAGAAGAUUUUAGAGUCUGCCAUUUUGCGUUUAGUGGGAUUUAAGUCUUACAACGUGAAAAUUCAUUGUAUGAAAAGUUAUGCCAAUAUGUUGGACUCUGGCCCAUUUCUUCCCGCAGCGGGAAAGAGACAUCACUCUGUCUACGGAAAAUAGUUACGAGCAUGCUGUAAUAUUUCAUUCCGUCUCUAGUAAUGUGAGAUGACCCGGGAGGAGGACGAUGAGCGGUGUGGUGCCAUUUGCUAUCCGAUUGUGAAGCCGUUACUCCGGUAGGCUGCCCUAUGCCAGGGGAAGGAUUCAACGAUCAACGAACUCAAUGACCAAAUCAGAGAGAAAGAUGUUUGCAUCGACCCAAUUGGAAAGCAAGCUUGAACUCGACAGGUCAAUGGAAAUACAGACAACAGAUGAUAAUCUAGUGUCUACUAUAAAGAAAAGCGACCAACUUCUGUCUUCAUCGAUCGUAAAGAAGGAUAAGAAAAUGUAUGAUCUAGUUGGAAAGGGACUAAGCCUAAUAACAAUUAAAAUUCAAUUGACAACACAGCUGAUUGAAUAUCGGAUUUCCAAUCUUAAAUCACA